This 1397-nucleotide ribosomal RNA is filed under the name uncultured bacterium. RNAcentral's name for it is "bacterial SSU rRNA". It matches the Rfam family "Bacterial small subunit ribosomal RNA", at positions 28 to 1381 of the family's 1533-position model. The record is from RNAcentral.
GAUGAACGCUGGCGGCGUGCCUAAUACAUGCAAGUCGAACGAACUUCCGUUAAUUGAUUAUGACGUACUUGUACUGAUUGAGAUUUUAACACGAAGUGAGUGGCGAACGGGUGAGUAACACGUGGGUAACCUGCCCAGAAGUAGGGGAUAACACCUGGAAACAGAUGCUAAUACCGUAUAACAGAGAAAACCGCAUGGUUUUCUUUUAAGAGAUGGCUCUGCUAUCACUUCUGGAUGGACCCGCGGCGUAUUAGCUAGUUGGUGAGGUAAAGGCUCACCAAGGCAGUGAUACGUAGCCGACCUGAGAGGGUAAUCGGCCACAUUGGGACUGAGACACGGCCCAGACUCCUACGGGAGGCAGCAGUAGGGAAUCUUCCACAAUGGACGCAAGUCUGAUGGAGCAACGCCGCGUGAGUGAAGAAGGGUUUCGGCUCGUAAAGCUCUGUUGUUAAAGAAGAACGUGGGUAAGAGUAACUGUUUACCCAGUGACGGUAUUUAACCAGAAAGCCACGGCUAACUACGUGCCAGCAGCCGCGGUAAUACGUAGGUGGCAAGCGUUAUCCGGAUUUAUUGGGCGUAAAGCGAGCGCAGGCGGUCUUUUAAGUCUAAUGUGAAAGCCUUCGGCUCAACCGAAGAAGUGCAUUGGAAACUGGGAGACUUGAGUGCAGAAGAGGACAGUGGAACUCCAUGUGUAGCGGUGAAAUGCGUAGAUAUAUGGAAGAACACCAGUGGCGAAGGCGGCUGUCUGGUCUGCAACUGACGCUGAGGCUCGAAAGCAUGGGUAGCGAACAGGAUUAGAUACCCUGGUAGUCCAUGCCGUAAACGAUGAUUACUAAGUGUUGGAGGGUUUCCGCCCUUCAGUGCUGCAGCUAACGCAUUAAGUAAUCCGCCUGGGGAGUACGACCGCAAGGUUGAAACUCAAAAGAAUUGACGGGGGCCCGCACAAGCGGUGGAGCAUGUGGUUUAAUUCGAAGCUACGCGAAGAACCUUACCAGGUCUUGACAUCUUCUGACAGUCUAAGAGAUUAGAGGUUCCCUUCGGGGACAGAAUGACAGGUGGUGCAUGGUUGUCGUCAGCUCGUGUCGUGAGAUGUUGGGUUAAGUCCCGCAACGAGCGCAACCCUUAUUACUAGUUGCCAGCAUUAAGUUGGGCACUCUAGUGAGACUGCCGGUGACAAACCGGAGGAAGGUGGGGACGACGUCAAAUCAUCAUGCCCCUUAUGACCUGGGCUACACACGUGCUACAAUGGAUGGUACAACGAGUCGCGAGACCGCGAGGUUAAGCUAAUCUCUUAAAACCAUUCUCAGUUCGGACUGUAGGCUGCAACUCGCCUACACGAAGUCGGAAUCGCUAGUAAUCGCGGAUCAGCAUGCCGCGGUGAAAAAGUUCCCGGGCCU